This 406-nucleotide ribosomal RNA is filed under the name uncultured bacterium. RNAcentral's name for it is "partial 16S ribosomal RNA". It matches the Rfam family "Bacterial small subunit ribosomal RNA", at positions 30 to 526 of the family's 1533-position model. The record is from RNAcentral.
AUUGAACGCUGGCGGCAGGCCUAACACAUGCAAGUCGAACGAGUGGCGGACGGGUGAGUAAUGUCUGGGAAACUGCAUGAUGGAGGGGGAUAACUACUGGAAAAGGUAGCUAAUACCGCAUACCAUAAGAUGUGCCCAGAUGGGAUUAGCUAGUUGGUGGGGUAACGGCUCACCAAGGCGACGAUUCCGAGCUGGUCUGAGAGGAGGACCGGUGACACUGCAACUGAUACACCGCCCAGACUCCUACGGUAGGCAGCAGUGGGGAAUAUUGCACCAUGGGCGCAAGCCUGAUGCAGCCAUGCCGAGUGUAUGAAGAAGGCCUUCGGGUUGUAAAGUACUUUCAGCGGGGAGGCGUUACCCGCAGAAGAAGCACCGGCUAACUCCGUGCCAGCAGCCGCGGUAAUUC